GAUAUGUUAGAUAGUCUAUUGUUUAUGGCUUGCGGUAUUGAUCGUAAUAUUGAUGGUGGGUGGUUACUUUCGCGGUUUACGUAUUGCGGUGUGUUUCCGGGUUUCAUGUAAGGCUUGUAUGAUGCGGAUAGUAGGUCAAGUGUGAUGUUAUAUGUAAACAACGAGUUUGAGUGUUUCAUCAGGGGAUCCAAACACGAGAAAACUGUAUGAAACACGAGCGCGAAGCGCGA
Paramuricea clavata is the source of this 230-nucleotide non-coding RNA. The record is from the annotation of a GenBank genome assembly. Lineage: Eukaryota; Metazoa; Cnidaria; Anthozoa; Malacalcyonacea; Plexauridae.